This is a long non-coding RNA of Salvia miltiorrhiza (redroot sage), 567 nucleotides long. RefSeq lists it as uncharacterized. NCBI's taxonomy places the organism in Eukaryota, Viridiplantae, Streptophyta, Magnoliopsida, Lamiales, Lamiaceae. The record is from RefSeq and is a predicted model, not a curated record. The transcript has 3 exons.
CUCUCUCUUCUCCACCCCAUUUUCGACCACCUCUCUCCCUCACUCCUCCAAUUCGGCACUCUCUCUCUCUCUCCUUCAUCUCUCAUCCUUCCUCCAUUAACAUCCAUGGUAGAACCUCCGAAGCUUCCAAAAAUUAUACAAAACACAUCAAUCCACUCCAAAAUCUUGCCUAAACACCUUCAAUCUCCUUGGAUUGAAGAAGAUCAUUGAAGAUUGCUUCCAAGGCUAGAGAGAGAAAGUUUGAUUGUUGGUGUAAAGUUUGGACACGAGCAGAGCAAGGAAGUAAGUAACUCCGCUUUGACGGGAGAUUUUGAGUAAGGUCUUCAGACUAAGCGAGAAGCGAGAUUGGUCUGGUGCUGGUGGGGAAUUGUUGGAGGAUGUAUUUACUUUAUCGUAUUUCCAUUUUGACGAUAAAGUCUUGAUGAUUGAUAUACUUUGAUUUUCUUUAGAAUUUAAGCAAUGUACUCACGGUUAUAUGUCUUCAUACAUAUAAUCGAUUCGCCUUUUGCUGCGAUACUCUGCAUAUUAUGAUUCCUUACGAAAAAUGAGUGAUACCCGUUUUGUUUU